GCGUGAGUUAAAAUGAUCGUGCAAACAGCCAUGAUUGAUUGAUGCAUGUUCUUGGGCCUGCACUCAUUCCUGGCUAGAGACGCGUCUGUUUGGAGGAUUAAUGAUGGAAACAGUGAUAUAAGAAAGAGCUGAGAAAGGAUAGCAUGAGCCAGAGAGUUGUUAGUAAUACAAGGGUAUCUUGUUUAUUCAUUUACAUGAUCAGGUAUAUCUCAGUUCUACCAUUUUACCCGUGUGUUGCGCUGGUUUUUUUUUUAAUUAUUAAUUAUUAUAUA
Molecule: unclassified non-coding RNA, 272 nt
Filed under: Hevea brasiliensis (rubber tree)
Lineage: Eukaryota; Viridiplantae; Streptophyta; Magnoliopsida; Malpighiales; Euphorbiaceae
Source: RNAcentral